This 682-nucleotide ribosomal RNA is filed under the name human gut metagenome. RNAcentral's name for it is "bacterial SSU rRNA". It matches the Rfam family "Bacterial small subunit ribosomal RNA", at positions 842 to 1520 of the family's 1533-position model. The record is from RNAcentral.
CGUGUCGGAGCUAACGCGUUAAGCAUCCCGCCUGGGGAGUACGGCCGCAAGGCUAAAACUCAAAGAAAUUGACGGGGGCCCGCACAAGCGGCGGAGCAUGCGGAUUAAUUCGAUGCAACGCGAAGAACCUUACCUGGGCUUGACAUGUUCCCGACGAUCCCAGAGAUGGGGUUUCCCUUCGGGGCGGGUUCACAGGUGGUGCAUGGUCGUCGUCAGCUCGUGUCGUGAGAUGUUGGGUUAAGUCCCGCAACGAGCGCAACCCUCGCCCCGUGUUGCCAGCGGAUUAUGCCGGGAACUCACGGGGGACCGCCGGGGUUAACUCGGAGGAAGGUGGGGAUGACGUCAGAUCAUCAUGCCCCUUACGUCCAGGGCUUCACGCAUGCUACAAUGGCCGGUACAACGGGAUGCGACAGUGCGAGCUGGAGCGGAUCCCUGAAAACCGGUCUCAGUUCGGAUCGCAGUCUGCAACUCGACUGCGUGAAGGCGGAGUCGCUAGUAAUCGCGAAUCAGCAACGUCGCGGUGAAUGCGUUCCCGGGCCUUGUACACACCGCCCGUCAAGUCAUGAAAGUGGGCAGCACCCGAAGCCGGUGGCCUAACCCCUUGCGGGAGGGAGCCGUCUAAGGUGAGGCUCGUGAUUGGGACUAAGUCGUAACAAGGUAGCCGUACCGGAAGGUGCGGCUG